GGCGUAUUUGCAAUGUAAAGCAGCAGAGGGACAAGCAGCCGACCUGCAAACAGCCCAGUUGGGUUUACAUGCAGCCAGUGGAUGUGUGUGAUGAUCUCACUACAUAUCAUAUUCAAAUCAGUAGCUCAUAUGAGCAGCUAUCGCAGAGUGUGGUUCAGCGAUACUCGGGGGGGAUCCCUGUCACUGCUGUUUCUUGGAAAUCGUCAGCUCUCUCAUGAGAACGGGCCUCUCUGCAGCAGCCAGCCAUGCCAUCUCUGUAUACUGUCACUGCUGUGACGGUUGCAUAACUACCCCGUCUGUGAACUUCACAUACGUGCAUAACCGUCACAAAUACACAGAUAAAAAU
Long non-coding RNA from Sebastes umbrosus (honeycomb rockfish), 346 nucleotides. RefSeq lists it as uncharacterized. The transcript is spliced from 2 exons. The record is from RefSeq and is a predicted model, not a curated record. Lineage: Eukaryota; Metazoa; Chordata; Actinopteri; Perciformes; Sebastidae.